This 440-nucleotide ribosomal RNA is filed under the name uncultured bacterium. RNAcentral describes it as "partial 16S ribosomal RNA". It matches the Rfam family "Bacterial small subunit ribosomal RNA", at positions 338 to 795 of the family's 1533-position model. The record is from RNAcentral.
CCUACGGGCGGCAGCAGUGGGGAAUAUUGCACAAUGGGGGAAACCCUGAUGCAGCGACGCCGCGUGAGUGAAGAAGUAAUUCGUUAUGUAAAGCUCUAUCAGCAGGGAAGAAAAUGACGGUACCUGAGUAAGAAGCCCCGGCUAACUACGUGCCAGCAGCCGCGGUAAUACGUAGGGGGCAAGCGUUAUCCGGAUUUACUGGGUGGAAAGGGAGCGUAGACGGCAGUGCAAGGCUGGAGUGAAAGGCGGGGGCUCAACCCCCGGACUGCCCUGGAAACUGUACGGCUGGAGUGCAGGAGAGGUAAGUGGAAUUCCUAGUGUAGCGGUGAAAUGCGUAGAUAUUAGGAGGAACACCAGUGGCGAAGGCGGCUUACUGGACUGUAACUGACGUUGAGGCUCGAAAGCGUGGGGAGCAAACAGGAUUAGAUACCCUUGUAGUC